This 94-nucleotide transfer RNA is filed under the name Pseudomonadota bacterium. RNAcentral describes it as "tRNA-Ser". It matches the Rfam family "tRNA". From Rfam's summary of the family: Transfer RNA (tRNA) molecules are approximately 80 nucleotides in length. Their secondary structure includes four short double-helical elements and three loops (D, anti-codon, and T loops). Lineage: Bacteria; Pseudomonadati; Pseudomonadota. RNAcentral also lists the same sequence under 1 other name. The record is from RNAcentral.
GGAGAGGUACCGAAGUGGUCGUAACGGGGCCGACUCGAAAUCGGCUGUGCCGCUAAAGGCGGCACCGUGGGUUCGAAUCCCACCCUCUCCGCCA